Lynx canadensis (Canada lynx) is the source of this 305-nucleotide long non-coding RNA. RefSeq lists it as uncharacterized. NCBI's taxonomy places the organism in Eukaryota, Metazoa, Chordata, Mammalia, Carnivora, Felidae. The record is from RefSeq and is a predicted model, not a curated record. The transcript is spliced from 3 exons.
CAAGUGGGUGACUUGUUGAUGUGCCCUGGCAGGUCCUGUCUGAUCUCAUCAACGGGGGGAAGAAGACUGGAAGACGGCGGGGCCCAGAGCCCACACAGAAGCAGAAACAAAGACUUAAAGGAGCCGCUGGCCUAACUCAGGAAGAGGAGACUGGGAUGUAGGCCCAUAUUUAGCUGGGGUUUCUGCCACCAAGGCAAGAUAAUCUCUAGGACAUGAAAAAUUGACAUCUCGUGGCCAACAAUACAUGAAAAGAUGCUCAACAACCCUAACCAUCAGGGAAAGGCAAAUCAAAACUACAAUGAGAC